Long non-coding RNA from Salarias fasciatus (jewelled blenny), 837 nucleotides. RefSeq lists it as uncharacterized. The record is from RefSeq and is a predicted model, not a curated record. Lineage: Eukaryota; Metazoa; Chordata; Actinopteri; Blenniiformes; Blenniidae. The transcript is spliced from 6 exons.
GAUACUGUAUAUAGUUGUGAAUAUUGUUAUACUGUAGUCAUUAAAUGCCAUUUGUCCAGAACUGUGACAGCGUACCUCAUUUAUUGCAAUUGAUUUAAGUUAUGCAGUUUAAGAUUAACAGUGAUAUGGGGAGAAUUCUGUAACUCAAGUCCCCAACCAGUGUCUGCUGUUGGAACUUCUGCUGAGGAUUUGCCUGCAGUGCAGCACAUUGAAGCUGUGAAGCAACAUGUGCAAUUUAAUAUCCGUGACAUAUUAAACAAGACAGCUGAUGGAAAAGGCUUGGUUACGAGUCUUGAACAAAGUCAUCACAUUUCUCUCAACCAAAGACGAUGCAUGGUCCGAAUUCUUGUAUCACACCUGAUGGAACGCUUUGGUGAGAAUCCAACCUCAGAUAAGAAGACCAUGUUGGCGUCAGCAAUAGUGGAUCAGUUUCCCUGUCUGAGAGACCCUCUGGGCACAGGCUUUGAUGCAUGGUUCACGCCAGGGAGAAAUCACAAACCGGCAACAGGGUUUUUGGAAGAGCGUCUCCGCAAUGUUCGCAAAAGGCUCAGAAAUGGCAGGCGGAGGGAUUCAGCAGAGGGGACUCCAAAGGAAACCCGGACCAUUGUGCCAGAAUCCUUGAUAAGUGCAGAGCGGGCCGUCCAGAUGACAGAGUGGCUAAAAAAUAACAUCAGGCCCCUGUCCCAGGUUGUCCAGUAUAUGCAUGAAACUGCCACUCACAGAGCACAGUGGAUCCGUGCCUGUGGCACAGUGCCAAUGUCUCAGAUCAUUGCUGAGUUUCCUCGCUUAUUGGACACUCCAGGCAUGGUGAGUUUUACUCCCCUCGAGUUAAAGUUC